AUGCCAAUGGUCAUUUAUUAUCUGAUCUAUUAUCAUCUUAUCUCUGCCUUCUUGAGGAUGAUAAUACUGAUGCUCGUCUUGGAGCACUAAAGGCUCUUGCCAUUUUUGAUAAUCCCCGAAUAACAAAACAAAUCUCCUACGUGGCCGAUCAUGACGUAUCGGAUGACGUCAGACGCUUUGCCACGUCAAUGUUACGUGGAUUCGAGGAGGAAGUCACGCGGAUUUAA
This 227-nucleotide unclassified non-coding RNA is filed under the name Caenorhabditis elegans. RNAcentral's name for it is "Non-coding transcript of protein-coding gene Y37A1A.4h". The record is from RNAcentral. Lineage: Eukaryota; Metazoa; Nematoda; Chromadorea; Rhabditida; Rhabditidae.